AGUGAACGCUGGCGGUAGGCCUAACACAUGCAAGUCGAACGGCAGCACAGUAAGAGCUUGCUCUUACGGGUGGCGAGUGGCGGACGGGUGAGGGAUACAUCGGAAUCUACUUUUUCGUGGGGGAUAACGUAGGGAAACUUACGCUAAUACCGCAUACGACCUACGGGUGAAAGCAGGGGAUCUUCGGACCUUGCGCGAUUGAAUGAGCCGAUGUCGGAUUAGCUAGUUGGCGGGGUAAAGGCCCACCAAGGCGACGAUCCGUAGCUGGUCUGAGAGGAUGAUCAGCCACACUGGAACUGAGACACGGUCCAGACUCCUACGGGAGGCAGCAGUGGGGAAUAUUGGACAAUGGGCGCAAGCCUGAUCCAGCCAUACCGCGUGGGUGAAGAAGGCCUUCGGGUUGUAAAGCCCUCUUGUUGGGAAAGAAAAGCAGCAGGUUAAUACCCCGCUGUUCUGACGGUACCCAAAGAAUAAGCACCGGCUAACUUCGUG
Molecule: ribosomal RNA, 492 nt
Filed under: uncultured bacterium
Lineage: Bacteria
Description: partial 16S ribosomal RNA
Rfam family: Bacterial small subunit ribosomal RNA
Source: RNAcentral